CUGAGCCACCAGGGAGGAGAAAGGGGAGGUAACCAGGGAUCAGAGGCUGUCCUUGGCCGCAGCUCUCCCCAGCACCUCCCACGCGGCCCAGAACCGGAGCUGCCAGCGGAAGUCGAUGGAAGGAAGGAACUUCCAGGAGUCCCCACCGGAGGACAGGCCACCCGGCCUCUCAGCGACCCCUGGGUUCCAGCCCUUCCCCGUCCAUACGCUCACCCCAGGCGAGUCCUUCUGUGGCACAUGACAAGCCCCCAGGGCCAAAGCUACCGGCACCACCUCCCACAGGAGCAGGCUCACAGGGCAUGUCUGCGUGGGGUCUGAGUGAUUCCUAGCAGGUGGGGUCGCCCAGAACAGCUGGGAACAUCUGGAUGACAGAGGGGUGGUCAGGAGCGCAAAGUGCCCAGUCAAAAUGGCCCGUCAGCAGAGCUGCAGCCGGCAGGGCCUGGAGACAUCAAACCUGCCAGCUAAAACGCCCCAUGAAUAUUUAACAGCCGUCAAUAUUUAAUUAGUGCAGACAGAUUAACUCGGAAGUCACACACACUUGGGCUGGAGGGAGGGGGAGCGUUGGAAGCAGGGGUUGGGCUCGAGGGAGAGGCCGUGUUUAUUGCGUGGGGUCCGAAAGGCUGCCCACCUUCGCUCCCCGCUGCCCCCAGCCACCUCCCCCCGCAGGAAGCAAGCGACACUGAGAAAAGUCCUAGGGAAAGGGACACCGGGAGAAGCCCAGGGGAAAGGAGAGGUUUGGGUAAGGUGGGGUGAGGGCAGUGCUGGGCACCCCCGUGUCAGCAGCCACCUGGACCCCAGCCCAGCUUCCCAGGAGCAGGUGUCAGUGUGUAAUUACCUCUGCGCCGUUGGCCUUCCCAGAUUAUGCUGUUGUUUAUUGCAUCCGCAACGCUACCCUGAGUCUUUUAUCCCCUUUGAGUUUCUUUGAGUUUUAUCACCUCUUGUGCCACGUUUUUAUUUAAUAGAGUUUCCCUGAACUUCAUCAUCUGACAAUAAAUUGCUGUCGUUGA
This is a long non-coding RNA of Capra hircus (goat), 1007 nucleotides long. RefSeq lists it as uncharacterized. The record is from RefSeq and is a predicted model, not a curated record. Lineage: Eukaryota; Metazoa; Chordata; Mammalia; Artiodactyla; Bovidae. The transcript has 2 exons.